This 441-nucleotide ribosomal RNA is filed under the name uncultured bacterium. Its description in RNAcentral is "partial 16S ribosomal RNA". It matches the Rfam family "Bacterial small subunit ribosomal RNA", at positions 338 to 795 of the family's 1533-position model. The record is from RNAcentral.
CCUACGGGAGGCAGCAGUGGGGAAUAUUGCACAAUGGGGGAAACCCUGAUGCAGCGACGCCGCGUGAGCGAGGAAGUAUUUCGGUAUGUUAAGCUCUAUCAGCAGGGACGAAAAAAGACGGUACCUGACUAAGAAGCUCCGGCUAACUACGUGCCAGCAGCCGCGGUAAUACGUAGGGGGCAAGCGUUAUCCGGAAUUACUGGGUGGAAAGGGAGCGUAGACGGCAAGGCAAGCCAGAUGUGAAAGGGCAGGGCUCAACCCUGUACAUGCUUUUGGAACUGUGGUGCUAGAGUGCAGGAGAGGUAAGUGGAAUUCCUAGUGUAGCGGUGAAAUGCGUAGAUAUUAGGAGGAACACCAGUGGCGAAGGCGGCUUACUGGACUGUAACUGACGUUGAGGCUCGAAAGCGUGGGGAGCAAACAGGAUUAGAUACCCGUGUAGUC